RNAcentral lists this ribosomal RNA (351 nucleotides) under uncultured bacterium. RNAcentral's name for it is "bacterial SSU rRNA". It matches the Rfam family "Bacterial small subunit ribosomal RNA", at positions 35 to 334 of the family's 1533-position model. The record is from RNAcentral.
GAUCGAACGGCCGGCGGUGUGCCUAAUACAUGCAAGUCGUACGCACGUGGCCCGAACUAAAGUUGAUGGUGCUUGCACCUGAUUGACGAUGGAUCACCAGUGAGUGGCGGACGGGUGAGUAACACGUAGGUAACCUGCCCCGGAGCGGGGGAUAACAUUUGGAAACAGAUGCUAAUACCGCAUAACAACAAAAGCCGCAUGGCUUUUGUUUGAAAGAUGGCUUUGGCUAUCACUCUGGGAUGGACCUGCGGUGCAUUAGCUAGUUGGUAAGGUAACGGCUUACCAAGGCGAUGAUGCAUAGCCGAGUUGAGAGACUGAUCGGCCACAAAUGGAAACUGAGACACGGUCCAU